This is a long non-coding RNA of Salmo salar (Atlantic salmon), 1305 nucleotides long. RefSeq lists it as uncharacterized. NCBI's taxonomy places the organism in Eukaryota, Metazoa, Chordata, Actinopteri, Salmoniformes, Salmonidae. The record is from RefSeq and is a predicted model, not a curated record.
CUUAACAAACAACCCAACAUUCGCGAUCCGAUGGUAACUAGCUAGGUUAGCAAACCAGCCUGCGUUGUUGGAUUUAUAGGUAUAGACAUAGUCCUCCAGUCAAGAGCCUAGUUAAGUAAUUUAAGGAGGCCCUCGACAUAAGAAGACUGGAGGCCAUUGUUGGGAAAAUGGCAAGCAGUUUCUUCAAGCUGUUUUCACCUAGGAAGCGCAACAUAGGAGUCCUGUCUCUUAGUGGAGUAUGGUCAUUUGCUACAGCAGGGUUUUUUCUGAACAGAGAGCUCAUCACCACAGGAGCUCAAAUCAGGAGGCUGUACCCUGCCAGUUAUCCCAGACAGACAGUGACAUAUCCCGGUGUCCACAGCCUCCAACACCUAUUCAUUCGUUAGGGGUGUGCUAUCAUUGUACCCCCUUUUUGUCUGUACUUAUUUCAAUAGUGUUACCAACCUUCAAUUUCUCUCACGGUGCAGAGUUCCCUGAUUUACGCAAACACAGCAACUGCAAGGCCAGUCACCUCAUACCUUCUUUCUAUGCUAAGCUGUGUGCCUAUGGACAAUGUUAUCCAGACAGGAUUGGACAACCCUGGGCACCCCUUCAUAAAGUAUGUUGGCAUGGUAGCCGGAGACGAGGAGUCCUAUCAGGGGAUGGAUCACAACGGCCUGUGUGGUCUGUGUCUUUUCACAGUGAAUUGACCUGGAUGCCACCAAUGUACAUAAUGAUGGGAAUGUCCAUGGACAUAAGUAUAGAAAUGGCAUUGCAUCAACCACCCAGUUGACUAGAUCCAGGCAGGUCAGUUUGAUGAGCACCACGUGUCAUCGUCACGUGGACGGGCCUGAGCAUCUGAGGGCUGAGCCUGCCCCCUGGCUGUUGCUGGGCGGAGCGCCGGGAGGUGGAGCUGGUGGUGGACGCCCUCAACGUCCUGCAGGGGGAACUCAAGGGACAGUACAGAUGACUGACAAGGAGCAGCAGCUGCUCAUUCAUGUGAGGAAAACACAGUCUGCAACACACUGAUUUGGAGAAUUGUUUUUAUUUGUUUAAUUUCCUUAUUCUAUCACUGAGAUGCAUAACACUUGUUUUUGGAGUUCACAGGAUCACUUCCUGUUCGAUAUACCAGUGUCCACCCUCUUGACCUGUGCAGGAAUGGCCAGAGAUUGGCCAGAGGCACAGGGCAUUUGAUAAGUAUAAUGGUUUGAUAAAAGCACAACUCUAAAACCAAACAAGAUAAUCAAAUCCAAGUUUAUUUGUCACGUGCGCCGAAUACAACCUUACAGUGAAAUGCUUACUUACAGGCUCUAACCAAUAGUGCAA